Molecule: transfer RNA, 84 nt
Filed under: Fusarium oxysporum f. sp. vasinfectum
Lineage: Eukaryota; Fungi; Ascomycota; Sordariomycetes; Hypocreales; Nectriaceae
Description: tRNA-OTHER
Source: RNAcentral
CAGAGCGGACCGGAGUCGAACCGGCGGACUUUGGAUUCACGUCUGGCGCGCUUCACUAGGCUUUAACCACCCAGCCACCGCUCC